This 1323-nucleotide ribosomal RNA is filed under the name Epiperipatus sp. MZUSP 0091. Its description in RNAcentral is "partial 18S small subunit ribosomal RNA". It matches the Rfam family "Eukaryotic small subunit ribosomal RNA", at positions 728 to 1416 of the family's 1831-position model. Lineage: Eukaryota; Metazoa; Onychophora; Udeonychophora; Euonychophora; Peripatidae. The record is from RNAcentral.
CGCCGGGCCGCCGCCUCCGUGCGGCGAGUUCCCGUGUGUCCCCGGGACCGCACGUUCACCCCCGCAGUGCUCUUAACUGAGUGUCUGCGGUAGCGGGUGACCGAACGUUUACCUUGACAAAACCGGAGUGCUCGAGGCGUGGGCGUUCGCCGCCCGUACGUCCUCGCUGGGAAUAAUGGAAGAGGACCGUUGGUCAAAAAAGGUUUUUUGUCAGAGAGGUUGGAGAGCAAAAAAGUGGUUGUGCUGGUGGGAGGUUACAAAGGGGGGUGACUCCCUUUCUCUCGCUGGUCUUCCUCUUUCUCCUCCUCGAAACCUUCCUCCCCGCGUACCGCACUGUGGAUCGGAUGGCGCUUUAUGGCGGUAAGGGUGGUUUGAGAAAGAAAGGUGAAAGCAGGUGGCCGUUUGCCGGAAGGUGAAAGCUGGAUGGCCGGUCGUCUGUGGAAACCUGGACAUCUUUUUCCCCCUCGCUGUCGUGGCGCUUCCGUACCCUCGGUGUCAGCGGGAGGAGGUCGAAAAUCAAAAUAAAAAAACGUGUCAUGAUUAAGAGGGACGGCCGGGGGCAUUCGUACCGCGGCGCGAGAGGUGAAAUUCUAGGACCGUCGCGAGACGAACGAUAGCGAAAGCAUUUGCCAAGAAUGUUUUCCUUAAUCAAGAACGAAAGUCGGAGGUUCGAAGGCGAUCAGAUACCGCCCUAGUUCCGACCUUAAACCAUGCCGUCCGACCGCCCGCCAGGGUUACUACCGCGACUCGGCGGGCGGUGACUUUCCACCGGGAAACCCUUAAGCUUUCGGGUUCCGGGGGAAGUACGGUCGCAAAGCUGAAACUUAAAGGAAUUGACGGAAGGGCACCACCAGGAGUGGAGCCUGCGGCUUAAUUUGACUCAACACGGGGAACCUCACCCGGCCCGGACACCGCGAGGAUUGACAGAUCGAUAGCUCUUUCUCGAUCCGGUGGGUGGUGGUGCAUGGCCGUUCUUAGUUGGUGGAGCGAUCUGUCUGGUUAAUUCCGAUAACGAACGAGACUCUAGCCGGUUAAGUAGCCCGAGUGGCGUGUUGUUGAUUAAAAAACCGCCCUAGCGGCACUCGGGGCGCUUCUCUGAAGCUGUCUGGCUUUAACUGUGGUGGGACAGGGAGGUGGAAGAUGACGGUCGGGGUCGCGUGUGUCGUGGCUCGGAUCUAGUUUUUUUAACUUCUCUUAAAUCCUGUCGCGUUUCUGCCUUUCACUUCUGAGGACCUCUGUUUGCUUACCUGGGGUAGAUAAAACGUUAACGAGAGUCGGGGGACAGUGGACGUUACUCGUGGAAUGGGUGGGCGCUUCUUAAUG